This 770-nucleotide ribosomal RNA is filed under the name uncultured Streptococcus sp. RNAcentral's name for it is "bacterial SSU rRNA". It matches the Rfam family "Bacterial small subunit ribosomal RNA", at positions 28 to 777 of the family's 1533-position model. The record is from RNAcentral. Lineage: Bacteria; Bacillati; Bacillota; Bacilli; Lactobacillales; Streptococcaceae.
GACGAACGCUGGCGGCGUGCUUAACACAUGCAAGUCGAACGCUGAAGACCUGGCUUUUGUUGGGUUGGAUGAGUGGCGAACGGGUGAGUAACGCGUAGGUAACCUGCCUGGUAGCGGGGGAUAACUAUUGGAAACGAUAGCUAAUACCGCAUAACAGUCGACAUUGCAUGAUGUUGAUUUGAAAGGGGCAAUUGCUCCACUACCAGAUGGACCUGCGUUGUAUUAGCUAGUUGGUGAGGUAACGGCUCACCAAGGCGACGAUACAUAGCCGACCUGAGAGGGUGAUCGGCCACACUGGGACUGAGACACGGCCCAGACUCCUACGGGAGGCAGCAGUAGGGAAUCUUCGGCAAUGGACGGAAGUCUGACCGAGCAACGCCGCGUGAGUGAAGAAGGUUUUCGGAUCGUAAAGCUCUGUUGUAAGAGAAGAACGAGUGUGAGAGUGGAGAGUUCACACUGUGACGGUAACUUACCAGAAAGGGACGGCUAACUACGUGCCAGCAGCCGCGGUAAUACGUAGGUCCCGAGCGUUAUCCGGAUUUAUUGGGCGUAAAGCGAGCGCAGGCGGUUAGAUAAGUCUGAAGUUAAAGGCUGUGGCUUAACCAUAGUACGCUUUGGAAACUGUUUAACUUGAGUGCAGAAGGGGAGAGUGGAAUUCCAUGUGUAGCGGUGAAAUGCGUAGAUAUAUGGAGGAACACCGGUGGCGAAAGNCGGCUCUCUNGGUCUGUAACUGACGCUGANGGCUCGAAAGCGUGGGGGAGCAAACAGGA